AGGCUUAACACAUGCAAGUCGAGCGCCCCGCAAGGGGAGCGGCAGACGGGUGAGUAACGCGUGGGAACGUACCCUUUACUACGGAAUAACGCAGGGAAACUUGUGCUAAUACCGUAUGUGCCCUUCGGGGGAAAGAUUUAUCGGUAAGGGAUCGGCCCGCGUUGGAUUAGCUAGUUGGUGGGGUAAAGGCCUACCAAGGCGACGAUCCAUAGCUGGUCUGAGAGGAUGAUCAGCCACAUUGGGACUGAGACACGGCCCAAACUCCUACGGGAGGCAGCAGUGGGGAAUAUUGGACAAUGGGCGCAAGCCUGAUCCAGCCAUGCCGCGUGAGUGAUGAAGGCCCUAGGGUUGUAAAGCUCUUUCACCGGAGAAGAUAAUGACGGUAUCCGGAGAAGAAGCCCCGGCUAACUUCGUGCCAGCAGCCGCGGUAAUACGAAGGGGGCUAGCCGUUGUUCGGAAUUACUGGGCGUAAAGCGCACGUAGGCGGACAUUUAAGUCAGGGGUGAAAUCCCAGAGCUCAACUCUGGAACUGCUUUGAUACUGGGUGUCUGGAGUAUGGAAGAAGUGAGUGGAAUUCCGAGUGUA
Molecule: ribosomal RNA, 585 nt
Filed under: Rhizobium gallicum
Lineage: Bacteria; Pseudomonadati; Pseudomonadota; Alphaproteobacteria; Hyphomicrobiales; Rhizobiaceae
Description: bacterial SSU rRNA
Rfam family: Bacterial small subunit ribosomal RNA
Source: RNAcentral